Molecule: long non-coding RNA, 1176 nt
Organism: Peromyscus maniculatus bairdii (prairie deer mouse)
Lineage: Eukaryota; Metazoa; Chordata; Mammalia; Rodentia; Cricetidae
Source: RefSeq, a predicted model, not a curated record
AAGACCUCUUCUCUUCCACCUUGACUGGUCCCCACUGUUACAUCACUUCUCAGCUUACCUGCAUAGUCCUGCCUCCAACUAUUUGGACAAACUUUUUCCUGUCAAACCAACCAGACAAGACCUCACCCUGGACUACUUCGCCAACUGCACAGCAACUCUCCCUUUGAGACGAUAAACCUGCCACAAGAACUGGACAUGAGACGGAUGUGCUUUUCCCAUGACACUUCCAGAAGACAACUCAACAGCAUCCUCCUCCAAAAUUUCCAGUACCAAAGACUGCCCCAUGAUGAUGUCCCAAUUCAGCCAGCACAAUCCUAUGAAAACGACGUCCACCCGGCUAACAGCUCUCUGGAAACUACACCAAAGUCUCACCCAUGGCGCUCCCAUCUGUUUCUCAUUUUUACAAAACACAAAGCAAGAAUAUUAGCUUAAUUAUUCAGUUCUGUCCCCCAUUGACUGCCUUAGCAAUACCCUGACCCCCACAACCACCUGCCAGCUAAUAUUUUCUGUAGUGAACAGUGGUCCAACCACAAGCUCAGCUUCCCUAGCAACCCUAAUAAUGGCUGACUACAAACUUCUUACCUCCCCGAUGCCCCACUUACAUUUUCUCUCACCCAGCCCUAUAAUUACCCCAGCUAUAAGAGGUACGGGGAGCCCUAGUUCUUGUAGGAGACACCCCCUUCCAGGUGCUUCCCCCACCCGAGGCUGUGCUGAUGUUGUAUCUAUCAUCCCUUGUCUUGUCCUUCUAAUUCCAAAUCUGACAGAACAGAGGUCACGCUAGGGGAGUGCCCCUCCCAGCUUCCCAUCCACCUCCCUGAAGCCAGCAGCAGCUCAGGGGACAGGUGGGGCAUUUCCCUCCCUGAUGAUGUAGUUACAGUCACCAUGGGAGCAAGGGUGGGAUGCCACCUGGUGAGCCAUUCCAGUAGGGAAGGUGUUUCCCAGGCUAGGUCUUUUGGGUGGGUCUCUCUACCAUAGGGGUCUCUGCUGCAGAAAGCCUGAGUCAGCUGCCACCACUGCGCCAUAGCUCUCUCCUCGGCUGGCCUGGCACAUCAGCGUGGCAGGCAGUGCCCUGAGGAGGUAUAGAUGACUGGAGGAGCUGCCCCUGAAGUCUUUCCAUGGGUGACACCUUCUCUGGACAGGAAGCUGUGCAUCCCUGGGUGUUCUUCAGAAUCACAG